Molecule: ribosomal RNA, 501 nt
Filed under: uncultured bacterium
Lineage: Bacteria
Description: bacterial SSU rRNA
Rfam family: Bacterial small subunit ribosomal RNA
Source: RNAcentral
GGCUCAGGAUGAACGCUAGCGGCAGGCCUAACACAUGCAAGUCGAGGGGUAGCAGGGUAGCAAUACCGCUGACGACCGGCGCACGGGUGAGUAACACGUAUCCAACCUUCCCAUAACUCAGGGAUAGCCUUUCGAAAGAAAGAUUAAUACCUGAUAGUACUUUUUCAAGGCAUCUUGAGAAAGUUAAAGAUUUAUUGGUUAUGGAUGGGGAUGCGUUCCAUUAGAUAGUUGGUGAGGUAACGGCUCACCAAGUCUUCGAUGGAUAGGGGUUCUGAGAGGAAGGUCCCCCACAUUGGUACUGAGACACGGACCAAACUCCUACGGGAGGCAGCAGUGAGGAAUAUUGGUCAAUGGGCGAGAGCCUGAACCAGCCAAGUAGCGUGAAGGAAUGAAGGUCCUAUGGAUUGUAAACUUCUUUUAUAGUAGAAUAAAGUGAUCCACGUGUGGAUUUUUGUAUGUAUACUAUGAAUAAGGAUCGGCUAACUCCGUGCCAGCCGCCGC